Molecule: non-coding RNA, 77 nt
Organism: Potamilus streckersoni
Lineage: Eukaryota; Metazoa; Mollusca; Bivalvia; Unionida; Unionidae
Source: the annotation of a GenBank genome assembly
GACUGCUCCAGUGUCCUAUUGGUUAUAGAGUCCACCUCAAAUGUGGGAGGUCAUGGGUUCGAUCCCCAACUGAGUCA